Molecule: long non-coding RNA, 222 nt
Filed under: Gossypium barbadense (sea-island cotton)
Lineage: Eukaryota; Viridiplantae; Streptophyta; Magnoliopsida; Malvales; Malvaceae
Description: long non-coding RNA (GBAR_LNC007258)
Source: RNAcentral
UUGUCUCUGUUUAAUUGAUAGCCUUAUGAUGUAUAUAACUGAUUUGCUUGAGUGAAUGUAUGUAUUUGAGUAACUCACCACCCUUAUUGAUAGAACGAAUGUUCGUGUAUGCUUGUUUGAAUAAAUGUGCUAAAUUGAUUGAAUCGAGUUAUAUGACUAUAAUGAUAUGUAUAUGAUGAUGUGUUGGAUGAGAGCUUAGAUUGUAGUACACUUAUCUAUGUU